Oryzias melastigma (Indian medaka) is the source of this 3906-nucleotide long non-coding RNA. RefSeq lists it as uncharacterized. NCBI's taxonomy places the organism in Eukaryota, Metazoa, Chordata, Actinopteri, Beloniformes, Adrianichthyidae. The record is from RefSeq and is a predicted model, not a curated record. The transcript has 6 exons.
UUAAACAUUUCUUAUGAUGCCUUUGUAAAAACAUUUUAUUACAACUGUAUUUGCAAUCCUCUGUAUUUUGUGUUUCUUUUUUGUUCCAUGUCUUCAGUUCUGAAAAUAAAGUUAUAAAAACUAACUAAAUAAACAAAUGACUCAAUGGGCUACCCGAUCACCCAGCUGCCGCAAAUCGUGUUAAAACUGUCAACCAGCGCCGAGUAAUAAAGUUUUUUUUAAAAAAAGUUCGCGCAGAAAGGAAGUCCCGCAAUACAUAUGCGCGUGAUUAGGGCGUGGUUAGGGAAAGGGGAUCGGGUACUUGUCGCUGCAUGUUCAGUUUGCGGAAGCCAAACGGUUGCACCGCUCACCCCGCAUGCGCGAACCAUACGUCACUGACAGUGACAAGCCCCUCCCCCGGCCCCGGUAUCUGUGCAGAGCCGAGUCCGCCUAGGUCAUCUCAAACACAAUAAUAUGUUUUUUUUUUAAUUCAAACACAAUGUCAGUACAACAUUUAGUGCAACACUCAAGAACAUUUCAAAGACAAACAAACAAAACAGAAUGAUCAAUAUAAUUUAUAUGGUAAUAAAAAGAUUGUGUUCCAUUUAUUUCUGUCUAAAUAUGGCCAUCUAUGUUUGCAUUCAAGGUUUGAAUAAUAACUCACUGGACUCUAAUAAACUUGUUUGUGGACUUCUUAACAACCAGAUCAAUUCCCUGAACUAAAAUCAAUAUUUGAGUUAAAUUGAAGUCUUCAUAUUUUACCUUUUUUGCUAUUAAAUAUAUAUUAUGUGGAAUCAAGCCAUUAACCAAAUUCUUUCUGAGGUAUAACAACAUUGUAUUUGCGUAAAAAACUUUCACAGGUGCCGAUUUCCUCUAUCAUCAAAUAGCUGAUUUACUGUAAUCAUUUUAUUGGCACACCAGUUUUGUAGAAAUAAACUUUUGUUUUUGUGUAACAAUUGUUCCACAAAAUGCAAUUGUGAGGAGAAAAGUUGUGUUUGAACAUAACAGUCCAGCAUAACAGAGCUUGUUGGUGAAAAUUGUCCAAUCUAACAGGAGUUUUCUGACACAAAAUGGACAUUUCAGUAAAAAAAAAUUAGACCUCGUAAAUUACUAAAUAAAUAGUUUGGGACAAUAUUCCAUAAACUAUUGGGAUUCUCAAGAGAUCCACUUAAUUUUCAAAACCUGAUUGAAAACAGUAAAAGUCAAAACCUCUAAUCCCCCAUCAGCUGAAGAGUUUGACAGGACGUUUUUCUGAACUUUAUGGGUUUUGUUUUUCCACAGAAAACUAAACAGAAUUUGAUCCAGAUCAGAACACGGAGUUUUAGUGACAUCUAGUGGCGAGAAAACAUAUGACGCUCUGGACAUCCUUCUGCUUUAGUUAGAAGUACUCGACCAUGAAUGGACAAAUCUCUAGUUAACCAGCUGUUAAACUUCUUUCUAAUAGUUUCAGUAACAGGGCUAAAGUUAUCCUCCAUAUUUUUACCUUCUUGAUAAGUAACAGUUUUUUUCUCACAGGAAUACCACAAACUUCCUCAUCAGUAACAUUAUUUACAGGUCAAAUUUCACAUUUUUUUAAAUUAGGUUUUAAUCCAGAAAUGCUUGAAAAGAGAGAAACAGCAGAUAAAACCUCAAGGAUUUCGCUGACAUUAUUUUAAAAAUCGUGGCAUCAUCUGCAGAUUUUUAAUUUUUUUUUUUUUUUUAAUUUAUUGGGUCUCCUCUCCUUACUAGUAAGAUUUAAUUUGAUAUAGAUGGAUUUAUGAUCAGUCAGUAUGGCUGGAAAAAUGUUUACAUCUGUCACUUUUCUUUCCAAUUCUUUGGAAAUCAACAAAAAAAAAAUCAAUUUCAAUGUUUUAAUCUCCAGAUAUCAGAUACAUUCAAGCGGCUUGAAAAGUCAGUCAGAUAAUGAUUUGAAGAAGAAUAAGACAAAAGGACCAAUCAUGCCAGUCAGGGUGCUAACGUACGGGCACACCCGUAUACGCUUACACAGGCAUGUCCGUCCGUCUCUGCAGUCUAACCCAGUCAGUCUAACCCAGUCGCAAGCUCCUGAGCCACUAACCACAGCGCCUAUACCCACUGCAGGCGGCUCCCUGACAGCACAACUGAUCCCAGUACGCGCGAAGUCGCUCAGAGGUAUAUAUACCCUGCAUAUGGUAGUACGUUCCAAACAUGAGGUUUUAACGCUAAUAUUUUUUUUUUAUCGCUGCAAUGUGUUGGAAAAUUUGAAUUACACACUAUAUGCUACUUAUAAAUGAAAUAUGACGACAAAAAAUAUAUUUUUACUUUUACAAAGAUACAGUUUCGGCCGCAGUGCAUGUUGGGAGGCGUGAAGCAUGCCCGCUGGACUGCGGUUAGACCCCUUCCUGCCGUCACAUGGAGGUAGAUUGAUAGACGCGUCAUUCACGGAUCCGGGGGUAACCAGCGGCGCCGCCAUGUAGCAGGAGUCAAGCUAAGCUAGCUCUACGUGCUAAAGUAGCAAUAGUCGACGGAGAACCGGAACCAUGCCGGUUGUUUGUUUUGCCUUCGGAUACAACCGGAAAUCUUUAGGUAGCGGAUCACGUGGAAUGACCUUUGACGAAGCAGAGCUUCCACCUGCUUCACCAGAAGAACAGAGAUGUCCUCAGAGGACAGUGAAGGUCAGAGCAGCAGAUCAUGUGAUGCAUCAGAACUACAGAGAAACGUGUCAGUCUGUUUGUUCAAGCUGAAACUGGUCAGAAAUGUGUUUUUACUCAGGAAGUAGAUUACAGAGUUCAGGAUGAACGGCCGAUAUUUGAGGUCUUAAUGUUUAUGUUCCAUAAAAUCCAGCUGCACCACACGGGCGACCCUGAAGCUUCAGAGUGCUGUCACAUGCAAGAGGUUGUGCACAAAAUGUUAUUUUGUCAUUUUACUGGAAAAUGUUUAUUUUACUAAUUAGUAUCAAUCCCUGUAGGAAACCUUCAGGUCAGAGGUCGUGUGGAUUUUUCCAGCUUGGAGCAGACAGACAGCUCAAGCUGACCACUACCUGCUUUGUUACCAGGAGAAUCUUUGACCCUGUUUGGAGAACUGGAAGAGACCUUCAGUUCUUUUCUCAGCAGAUGUCAGGCAGCUGCUGCAGCAUUUCAUGCUGAUCUCUCUGCAUCAGCACCUCGUCUGAAAUGACAUUCAGUGGAGUAAGUUUCCUCAGAAAGUUCCACCAAAACACCAGUGCCAGUCUUCAGAUUCUAUUUUCUUUCCUUAGAGCUGUUUAUACUUCAUCACAUCCGUCUCAUCCACAAUCACACGCUUUAGUUCAGACUAAUGUCGGCUGGUUUUGCUUGUGACUGUCCAAAAAACCUGCCAUGAACUUCUGAGAGGUGUUUAUGUUUUUCUAGUACUGCGAUCGUCUCCAGCGUUUAUAUUUUAAUCUGAAAAACUUACUGUGUUUGUGAAUGCGCAGACUCAUGAAAGGUGGAGGGGACGUGAUGUGCUCCUCCACUAAAUAGAGUUGGACAAUAGAAAAGGUGAAAAAUAAAAUUAAAAUUAAAAAGGGGCAAGUUUCAUUCUGGAGUGCUGCCAAAUCUAAAAUACAAGAAAUGUCUUUCCAGUAACUUGUUUUUCUAUCUCGUUGUCCGCUCACACACAGACAUAUUUCCAGCGCUUGGGUCCUUCUGGCAUCAUGAAACCAUGACAACGACUUCAACAUGGACGGAGAUUCAGUUUCUGGACAGAAGAGGCAUUGCUGCUUCUGCAGGAACUCUGCAGCUGAUCUUCAGGUUCCAGAGAUGACCACCUCCACACCUGAAGUCCAGUCAGACAGGUGAGAGGGGGGGCAACAAUUACAACAUUAGUAGAAUGUGAUUGUGAUCACACAAUGUUAAAGGGUUAGUAAUGCCCUGGGACAAAGCUAAAAUAAGUAUCCAGAUAUAUUCCAUAUGUUCUAAUGUAUCAAAAAUAACAAAUAAUUACCGUUGA